This 279-nucleotide ribosomal RNA is filed under the name uncultured bacterium. RNAcentral's name for it is "partial 16S ribosomal RNA". It matches the Rfam family "Bacterial small subunit ribosomal RNA", at positions 506 to 784 of the family's 1533-position model. The record is from RNAcentral.
UGCCAGCAGCCGCGGUAAUACGUAGGGGGCAAGCGUUAUCCGGAUUUACUGGGUGUAAAGGGUGCGUAGGCGGUCAAGUAAGUCAGAUGUGAAAGCCCGAAGCUCAACUUCGGGACUGCAUUUGAAACUGCUUGACUAGAAUACAGGAGAGGUAAGUGGAAUUCCUAGUGUAGCGGUGAAAUGCGUAGAUAUUAGGAGGAACACCAGUGGCGAAGGCGACUUACUGGACUGUUAUUGACGCUGAGGCACGAAAGCGUGGGGAGCGAACAGGAUUAGAUA